GUGCUCACUUUAGCAGCAUGUAUACUAAAGUUGGGACUGCAGAGACGAUUACCAUGGCCCCUGCGGGAAGAUGAGACUCAGAUUUGUGAUGUGGGCAAAAUUUAA
This is a small nuclear RNA of Jaculus jaculus (lesser Egyptian jerboa), 105 nucleotides long. The record is from Ensembl. NCBI's taxonomy places the organism in Eukaryota, Metazoa, Chordata, Mammalia, Rodentia, Dipodidae.